CCCUUAGAUGUUCUGGGCCGCACGCGCGCUACACUGACGAUGGCAACGAGUUUUUCCUUCGCCGAAAGGUGUGGGUAAUCUUUUGAAACAUCGUCGUGCUGGGGAUAGAUCAUUGCAAUUUUUGAUCUUGAACGAGGAAUUCCUAGUAAGCGCGAGUCAUCAGCUCGCGUUGAUUACGUCCCUGCCCUUUGUACACACCGCCCGUCGCUACUACCGAUUGAAUGGUUUAGUGAGGACUCCUGAUUGGCGCCGCCGCCCCGGCAACGGAGCAGCGGACUGCCGAAAAGUUGUUCAAACUUGAUCAUUUAGAGGAAGUAAAAGUCGUAACC
RNAcentral lists this ribosomal RNA (329 nucleotides) under uncultured eukaryote. Its description in RNAcentral is "partial 18S ribosomal RNA". It matches the Rfam family "Eukaryotic small subunit ribosomal RNA", at positions 1470 to 1796 of the family's 1831-position model. The record is from RNAcentral.